Alligator mississippiensis (American alligator) is the source of this 3642-nucleotide long non-coding RNA. RefSeq lists it as uncharacterized. NCBI's taxonomy places the organism in Eukaryota, Metazoa, Chordata, Crocodylia, Alligatoridae. The record is from RefSeq and is a predicted model, not a curated record. The transcript is spliced from 3 exons.
CACUCAUGUUUCUCAGGCAGCUCAGCUUGAGACAUCUUGCCUGACUUUAAAGAGGUGCUGAAUAGGGCUGUGCGAAGCUUCGGGAGCUGAUUUGAUUUGGAGGAGAUUCAGCCCAAUUCGGUGGCCAAAUCUCUGAAUCCGAAUCGAAUCAGGGGACCAAUUAAAAAGUCCGAAUUGAUUCAAAGCUCUCCGAAUCUUCAGCAAAGAUUCGGAGGGCUGUGAUGAUUCAGGUAGUCCCCAGUCCCCAGUAGCUGCAGCCACUCCGAGCUGCAGAAAAAAAUAUGCAAGGCUUGUAGUCCCCCUGCUGGCACUUGAAGACCUCUAAAUCUUUGACAGAAGCAGUCUCAUCUCUCUUGACCCAUGAUCUCCAACCAGUUGCUUUCAGGCAACAUAUUGCCUAAGAGAUUUUCCAGUGCUGCUGAUGGAUGCAAGGAAUUUUGGUUUCUAAAGGUACCUGUUUCUUCACAUCAAUGGGGAGAGUUAAGUAUGGCUGCACCACUUGCAGCAUGCUGCUUUCUCUGUAGUGUUGCCUGUAGGUCAGAUUAAGAGCCACUGCUUCAGGAGAAAUAUUCUCUAUGGCAUCCCCAUCUCCCACAGUGGAAGAUUUUCUUUUUCCUAAUGACAGGGACCUACAGUUGACACAGCCAGGCAUCUUGUGCCAUGCUUGUUUUGUUUUAUAAAGCACUUGGUGUAUGGUAGAAGCAAUUUGUGCCACUGCGUGCUUUCUGUUAUUUGUCAUCAUGCUUGCCUUGAUGGGUGAUAGAUCUUUCUCAGACACACUAGAUUAUGUACAUGGAGUGGACUGCAGGUGAUGGAUUACUAAAUUAAACUACAAUGGGUGAAAUGAGUGGACUGAUCGCUCUGUUCUGAAUCAGUAAUUGGGAUUAUAUUAGAUCAGUGUACCUUGGAUAUUAUUCCACAGGAUUUUAUUUGGGUAAGAAUCAAGUUGUUGGGUUCGGUUGAUGGGAUGAAAAUGUUCAGAAUAGGUGGCCUCAUUUCAUUUUAACUACACUGAUAUAUUUGAUGGCUUGAAUUACUUUUAAGCAGAGUUUUUACUGAGCUUUGUAAUAAUAAUUAUAUCUAACUGUAAUCACCCUCUCUGGUUUAUGCAAAAAAAGUUCAUUAUAUGACACGGAGAUGAAGUGUCUCAUUUUCCCCUGUUUUAAUUUAGUAAAUGGUGAUUACAGAGGUAGGUGCUUUGCAAAACCCAAUGAGCCUUGAUAUGCUAGGUAGAUUUUUAUCAAGCCAUCUUUACUAAAACCUGACUGCAUGUAGCCAAGUAAGAGGGUGUCUCCAAACCCUCGCCUGCUGGUAGUGUUAUUCUCUUGAUUAUCCUCAGGCAUGUAGAGCACUCUUCUGUUCUAGGAGGACAGUGUGGAUGGCAGUAGCAUCACAUGUGAUGAUAGCUCUUUUGUCCUUAAUCACAAAUGUUGAGCUGCACCAUAAGCCCCAGGAGGAAAAGAAAUUCAUUAGAUUUCAGCUUUUAGUUACUGAAUGCUAAGUCUGUCUCUCUUUCCUCUCUCUCUUCCUGCAGGAAAUGCAGGAGCAACCAAUGUUUAAGGGGGAAAUAUUAUAUUUCAAAAUCCCCACAUAAGCUGAAUCUUCUAUUCUGCACGAAACAAGAGUCAAAAGCCACCACAGAGUAGAGCGACGUUCAUAGCAUUUAAUUUCCAACCACUGGUCAAAGACAAAAUAUUAGAGGCCUCUUUCCUAACUCACCGAAAUACAAAUUAUGAGGCUGGUUUGUAGCAGGAGGGUGGGGAAAGGCCAUCACAAUUGGGAAUGUGAAUCAAGUUUAAGCGGUUGUGACUGAAGUUAUCCUUUUAAAGUGAAAGCUUUUUUCUUAUUUUCAAAUACGUUACACAGCCGAUUCAGAAGGACAAGAACAAAUUUUGACGGGAAAUCAGGAAGAGUUAAGAGAGAGGAAGAGAGGAUUAGAGCCUGAGGCUGACUUAAACUGUGAAACCCCUCAAGGUGAACUCAAGGAUAGCUCUUUUCACUCAUUAGAGAAAAGGCAAGUCAGAAGAAGCCUUGUCUUUUUACCAUAUGUUGACAUUUGCUGAGCAUUUUUUUUGCAUUUUUUUGCAUUUUAUCAUCGAAAUUGGAAUACAUUUUUAUAGAAAAAUCUUUACAGUUACAAGGAGGGUUUAACACAGACACUUUCCCCUCUUUCUUGCUUCUGUGGAUUCUUUUCCGGGGUUUGCCGGUGGAAAUGGGCCAAGGGGCAAGACCCACAAUGGCAUAAAUCAGCUUCAUUAGGGUUACACUGAGCUUCGACUCCCUAAAAAAUUGCCAUGAAGGAUGGUCUUGUCGAAGAGGUGUAGGACUGAUCUGUAGGGGCAUGGCUUCUUUCUUGCUCUUCCAUAGGUUCUUUAGAUAAGUCAUUUAAUUUUCUCCAUGUCCCAGAUCCCUACUGAUAUAACACAUGUAAUUAGGAACCCCUUGAAAAUGUAGAGACAUUAAAUGCAAAAUAAAAUUGAAUGGAAGCAGAUACACUGUUGAUUUCUGUUCUUCCACCAUUUAUCUCUUUUUAGACUUCUUUCAUCUUCUUCCCUACAUGUAACUGUUCUUUCCUUCAUUAUCUUUUCUAAAACAUUACCUACAAAUAAAGUCAUUUACUCUUUUCCAGUCAUGGGGUACUAUCUCUGAGUUGACAUGGUAGUCCUGAUAUUUGUUUGGAAAAUCUACAGUACUGUGUUUCUACAUUAGAUUUAUCAAGGGCAGCUGGAUAGGAAAUGCUGCUUGUGCGUGUGCGUGUGAGUGGGCAUGUGAUGUGCAUGUGCUCGUGCUCGUGCUCGUGUUUGUGUUUGUGCUUGUUAGAGUCUGGUCUCUGGAAGAACAAACUAGACAAGGCCAUUAUUGAAAAAGUUAGCACAUCUGGUUUGGAACAGGAAGGAUAUACUAAUAUUCCCCUAUUCCAUUGUAUAUACCAUACCUCUGCAUCCUUCCUAAAUGCUUAAGAACUGGCCCAGUUUAAAAGACCUGCUAAGACAGCAUCUCAGAUUUGUGUUUCAUACUGAGAGUAGAGAGCCUGCAGCAUUCAGCUCAAUAAUGGCUUAAAACAGCCAAACUGCAGCCCACUGAAGCUAUUAGCUAUCUGCCCAGACCUAAUCUCUUCAUAUUUGUUUUUCUGUUGCUGUAGUUUUGUUUUUCCCCCCUUCCCUUGUCUCCCCUUCCUUCUCUCCCUGGGAAAGCCGAAUCUCAUCUGUCUGCAGUUAACGAAAACCGAAGUAACUGGACUCACUGCUGGAAGAGAAGAAAUAUGUGAUGUUAACAGUUCAUUGAGCUGUGAGAUGAACAAGCUGGGUGUUGAAAAGAAAAUCCAAGCUAAGAGUACAUUUCCAGUGUUAAUAAAGCUUUUUCCCUUUGUUGUGUAUUUCCGAACACUGAUUCUAGGAUGGUUGUCAUCCGUUUUCUUCUGGAAUUAGACAAUCAGACAAAUUUAAAACACCUCAGACUCAUUUGUCCUUGUUAACUGAUAACUCUGUCUGCAACACCAGGAGAUCUCCAGUUCCUCCUCCGUCCUUUGCUAAAACCCUGUUUUAGCAGAAGAAGAAAAAAAAGCUUUCACAACUGUCAUGGCCCUCUGUAAUAUGAUAAACUGUCCCUUGUAAAGGAGUUUGGACUGUAUCCCACCUUCUC